CCUACGGGAGGCAGCAGUAAGGAAUAUUGGUCAAUGGAGGCAACUCUGAACCAGCCAUGCCGCGUGCAGGAAGACUGCCCUAUGGGUUGUAAACUGCUUUUAUACGGGAAUAAACCUUGAUUCGUGAAUCGAGCUGAAUGUACCGUAAGAAUAAGGAUCGGCUAACUCCGUGCCAGCAGCCGCGGUAAUACGGAGGAUCCAAGCGUUAUCCGGAUUUAUUGGGUUUAAAGGGAGCGUAGGCGGCCUAUUAAGUCAGGGGUGAAAGACGGUGGCUCAACCAUCGCAGUGCCUUUGAUACUGGUAGGCUUGAAUGUAGUUGAGGUAGGCGGAAUGUGACAAGUAGCGGUGAAAUGCAUAGAUAUGUCACAGAACACCGAUUGCGAAGGCAGCUUACUAAGCUAUGAUUGACGCUGAGGCUCGAAAGCGUGGGGAUCAAACAGGAUUAGAUACCCUGGUAGUCCACGCCCUAAACGAUGAUAACUCGAUGUUGGCGAUAUACUAGUCAGCGUCCGAACGACGAACGACGGUUAAGUUUAAGUUACCUACCCGUCGGGGUACGGGUACCGGCCCCGGCCCGACGGGUAGGUAACGUACGAACGUAGUAAGUUAGUACGGGACGUAGAGGACGUUGCCGACGGGACCGGACCGACCGACGGGGAGGGUAGGGAG
This 669-nucleotide ribosomal RNA is filed under the name uncultured bacterium. Its description in RNAcentral is "bacterial SSU rRNA". The stretch from base 1 to 547 matches the Rfam family "Bacterial small subunit ribosomal RNA", at positions 338 to 873 of the family's 1533-position model. The record is from RNAcentral.